UCACAUCGGAAAGCGAUUUUGGCUAAUUCAAGUUUCCAACCAAGAUGUCAAUAGACAAAUACGCUAAACAGACUUUAUUUACACUUAAUAAUGUAAUUAAGUUUUGCGUGUCCGUUUCCUUGAUGAUGGUUUCAAUAACGAUAAAAAGUAUGGUUCACCGCCUCUAACUUAAGAGCAAGUCUUUUCACUUCUCCAGCAGUUUAUUUGGUGCCAACAUAGGACAAAUAUGAAGCAGCUAUCUGAUCUCUCC
This 250-nucleotide long non-coding RNA is filed under the name Linum usitatissimum (flax). RNAcentral's name for it is "long non-coding RNA (LUSI_LNC000650)". Lineage: Eukaryota; Viridiplantae; Streptophyta; Magnoliopsida; Malpighiales; Linaceae. The record is from RNAcentral.